GCUUUCGGGCCCCGACGACUUUGCCAUGAAGUGUCUGUCCCAUCAAUUGGCGAUGGUCGGCGACCUGCCUACCACGGUGUUGACGGGUAACGGGGAAUCAGGGUUCGAUUCCGGAGAGGGAGCCUGCGAAACGGCUACCACCUCCAAGGAGGGCAGCAGGCGCGCAACUUACCCAAUCCCGACACGGGGAGGUAGUGACGAAAAAUAACGUGGCGGGGCCCUUUCGUGGUCGCCGCGGGCGGAAUGAGCGCAAUUUAAAAGAGUGUGCGAGGAGCUAUUGGAGGGCAAGCCUGGUGCCAGCAGCCGCGGUAAUUCCAGCUCCAAUAGCCUAUAUCGGAGUUGCUGCGGUUAAAAAGCUCGUCGUUGGAUCUCGGAGGCGGCACGGUCGGGCGCGAUACGCUGCGGGUCCGACCGGCGAUUUCUCGGCCGUCCCUAACCAGCGCGCGGGGCGAGGUGGACUUCGCGGUCCUGCCUCGUUUUUCUCCUUCACGGGAGAGAACCCGCCGCAUUUUCUGUCUACCUUGAAAAAAUUAGAGUGCUAAAGGCAGGCUAAAACCCCGAGCCUGAAUAUUUCGUGCAUGGAAUAAGCGGGGAUGCUCUUUUCCGGAGGGCGGUCCGACCGACUGGCGACGUCGCUUUCGCUGUCGGUUUCGCCGGAGAGCUAGGAUUCGAGAGGAACGGUGGGGGGCGAGCGUACCGGGCGGGGAGAGGUGAAAUUUUGUGAUCCGCUCGGGACGACUCGAAGCGAAAGCGCUGGCCCCGGACGUCUUCCUUAAUCCAGAACGAAGGUGGGUGGAGCANAGACGAUCAGAUACCGUCGUAGUACCGACGGUAAACGCUGCCGACCGGGCCGCGGACGAGGCUCGAGAACAGCGGUUAUGGACCCGUCCGUGGCGGCUUCGGGCAACCUGAGAGUUUACGGGUUCCGGGGGUAGUAUGGUCGCAAGGCUGAAACUUGAAGGAAUUGACGGAAGGGCACCACAAGGAGUGGAGCCUGCGGCUUAAUUUGACUCAAC
This 1016-nucleotide non-coding RNA is filed under the name Lottia gigantea (owl limpet). RNAcentral's name for it is "Eukaryotic small subunit ribosomal RNA". It matches the Rfam family "Eukaryotic small subunit ribosomal RNA", at positions 277 to 1204 of the family's 1831-position model. Lineage: Eukaryota; Metazoa; Mollusca; Gastropoda; Lottiidae. The record is from Rfam by way of RNAcentral.